CGCAUUCGCCUUUAUAUUUCAAGAGCUUAUGAACGCGUAGGAAGUUUUUACUUUCAUACGCGUUUUUCUUUGAACACAUGAAGGUGUCCUUUAAAAAUAGUAGAAGAGG
This 109-nucleotide ribosomal RNA is filed under the name Lysinibacillus sp. B2A1. The record is from RNAcentral. Lineage: Bacteria; Bacillati; Bacillota; Bacilli; Caryophanales; Bacillaceae.